UAAAAUGAUGUAUUUUUUUAAACACAAUUUAUGCUAGAUAGUAUCUGAAAGCAUUCAAACUUUAUGAUUACAGUGUUUUCGACAGUUUUAAAUCUCUGAAC
This is a non-coding RNA of Saccharomyces cerevisiae FostersB, 101 nucleotides long. NCBI's taxonomy places the organism in Eukaryota, Fungi, Ascomycota, Saccharomycetes, Saccharomycetales, Saccharomycetaceae. The record is from Rfam.